UAGAGCCAAGAGGCUCUUGGGACCAUAUGGCUGGGACUGAAGGCAGUGUAGACACAGCUGACCCUUCAUGAGGGCUCUGCCUGGCUCUAGUAGCUUCUAUCCUGAAAGCCUGGUGAGUGUCUGAAGGAUGGUCCCCUUGUUAAGUGAGGGCAGGCUUGUGGAUUUCAGGGGCCCCAGAGGCCUGGGAGGACAUUUAGUGGGGGCGGGGUCCUCACCAAAGACUCAAUGGGCUCUGGAGUUCCUGUGUCUCCUGAGACCUGCGCCUGACGUCACCCUCUGGAUGGCCUCUGGCCUCUACCUGGGCUGGGGUGUCCCAGGAACAGAGAAGGACCCAACUAUUGUUGGGGACCCCAGCACUCUCUGUCCAACCGAGCCUGGGGCCUGGGUGGCAAAUGUGGGCAUUGCGAGAGUGGCAGGACUGGGAGGAGGCCCAAGCCCUGGGUAGGGCCUGGGGGGUGCCAGGUCCACACCUCCGAGGUGGUGAGUGGUGCAGACAGCUGGUGCCUGUGGGUCCCUAACAAAUGCAGCUGAGAAGUGGGCCCUCAGAUGUCCACGUGGCAUAACCCUGCUGUGACUGAAGCCGCCAGCCUGGAUUGAACAUUCUUCAAGAUUUCUGCCUUCAUUUAACAAGUAUGUGUGUCACUCGUGUUGUGAGCCAGGCACUCCAUGCAGCCAGAUCAAGGCAGGGAAGUCCCUGCCCAGGAGUACUCAUGUCCCAGUAGAGACAGAGGCCACAGGGCUUGCCCUGUGAAGCCAGCAGGCCCUGGGGGCUGGCUGUGAUGAGGACCUCCGAGUCCUUUGGGGAAUCUGCUGCCCAAGUCAGACCCAGAUGGAAGCCUGGAGCUGCCCCGCAGGAGCAGGGAGGGAGUGCUCUGUCCUGAGGUAUACAGCUUUUACUAGCUCCGAUGGGGUGCCUCUUGGGGUCCCCCAGCCUGGGAAAGAGGCGCCAUCAGCUCUAGGAGGCUGAGAGCCUGGAGUCUUGGCCUCUGAAGGCUGCGUUUCCUGGAUGGCAAAGUCCAGCAGGACCCUGGCACCAGGGGUCCUUGGGCAGGCAGUUGGUCCUAGGCAAAGAAAAAAGGGCAGAGCUGCCCUAGCUGAGAGGGUGGAAGGCCAUGUGCCCCCCCCAACCACGAUGGGCGCUAGGAGUCAGAUACAAUUACUCUCUCAGUGUAUCAUAAUUACUGCAAAUAGCCCAUUAAAGAGAAAUUAUCAUCAAUAUGAUAUUAGCAGACAGCGGGGGAAAUGAAGAAAGAAAAGUGCUUAUUCUCUCAUUGUCCCCUUAAUGGGGACAAGGGGUGGAGAGGCAGUGGCCCCUGUUCACUGACCUCACCUCCCUGCCCACUGCAUGGAGCCACGAAGGACCCGGCAGGCUGGGAGCCAAGGCAUGACCCUGGAAACAGCAGUGCAGGAAGAGCGGGUGCCAUGGGUGGAGUCGGACCUGCCUCUGCCCACUGUCGGGGGCUCCGCUGUCGCCUCCCAAACCUGGCUUUAGUCCAGCUUGGGUGGCUCGGGCCUCCCUUGAGGUAGCCUCUGCUGCGCCCCCACCCCCACCGUGAACCCUCCAAGGGAAGGCCCUGGAGUAGGAGGGGUCUUGGUUCAGCCUGUCCUGAGCUUGUGGCCCUUUAAAUCCUGGGAACCAGGCUCCACUAGACGUGGCCUCUGGAGCACAGGUCUCUCCCAAACAUCACCAAAAUGACCGAAGAGGAAGAGGGAGGUGCCGUUUGCAGGAAAGAGAGAACGGGAGUGGAGCAGCAGCCACCAGUGAGGGAAGAGGUGGCAAAGUGCUCCAUGGCUGGGGUGCCUAUCUUGGCAGAGUGGAGCAGAUGAAAGGCCCAUCUGCCGACAAGACCACUGCCACCCUCUGCCACCCUCCACCACCCUCCGCCAGGUCACCAGAAUGCCAGGCCUCACUCAUGAUCAGCUGAGCACCAGCAGGCAGGUGAGAAGAGCCUCCAGUGUGGAGCAGGUCAACCAGCAACAGAGCCAGGGAGACCCAUGGAGUCCAGAGAAAACGGUAACAACGGCAGCAGCACCCAGAGACUGGCUCCCAGUGAGUUAAGCCCAGCCGCGACCCUUGGAUGUGCCAGCUGAUUUAAUACUCAUGAUAAACCCAGUAGACAGAUGUGCAUAUAUCACUUCAAAAAAACAAAAGUGGAUGUGGCUGAUGCCAAAGUGACCUGCCCCAGAAGAGCUGCUAACAGAACAGCAUCCCAGGAGGCUGCAGAAGGCUGAAGAGCAGAGCCCACACCUGCUAUGGGCCACAAGAGGCCCUGGAUGCCAUGGAGGCCGCAAGGGCCCAGGCGGGACUUGCAGAAUGAGAGUCCUAGGCCCAAGUAUAGAGUCCCUGGUGGGCACAGAGGAGAGACCAGGUCAGUGGGAGGGGUUGUCAGACCCUGUGGAGUGCCCCACCUGUGUGCCAGGCCCAGAACUGGGCUCAACUCUGAUGGUAGCAGGUGGAAAGUAGACUUCACUACUGUGGGAGUGGGGGCAUUCCUGGACACAGGGGGAAACCAGCUCACAGAACAGCCUGGGGUCUUCUUGGAGGAGGCCAUUUUGGCCCAGAUCCUAAAGGAAGACUGGAAGCCUCAGGGGGCAGUGAGAACAGGGACAAGAGAGGGCAGGUCUCAGGACUGACUGAGCAACUCAGACUGACCUGGAUC
This 2660-nucleotide long non-coding RNA is filed under the name Homo sapiens (human). RNAcentral's name for it is "HSALNT0350677". The record is from RNAcentral. Lineage: Eukaryota; Metazoa; Chordata; Mammalia; Primates; Hominidae.